This 231-nucleotide ribosomal RNA is filed under the name uncultured bacterium. Its description in RNAcentral is "partial 16S ribosomal RNA". It matches the Rfam family "Bacterial small subunit ribosomal RNA", at positions 8 to 230 of the family's 1533-position model. The record is from RNAcentral.
AGAGUUUGAUCCUGGCUCAGGAUGAACGCUAGCUACAGGCUUAACACAUGCAAGUCGAGGGGCAGCAUGGUCUUAGCUUGCUAAGGCCGAUGGCGACCGACGCACGGGUGAGUAACACGUAUCCAACCUGCCAUCUACUCUUGGACAGCCUUCUGAAAGGAAGAUUAAUACAAGAUGGCAUCAUGAGUUCACAUGUUCACAUGAUUAAAGGUAUUCCGGCAGACGUUGGGG